RNAcentral lists this ribosomal RNA (245 nucleotides) under uncultured Anaeromyxobacter sp. RNAcentral describes it as "partial 16S ribosomal RNA". It matches the Rfam family "Bacterial small subunit ribosomal RNA", at positions 524 to 768 of the family's 1533-position model. The record is from RNAcentral. Lineage: Bacteria; Pseudomonadati; Myxococcota; Myxococcia; Myxococcales; Anaeromyxobacteraceae.
UACAGAGGGUGCGAGCGUUGUUCGGAAUCAUUGGGCGUAAAGCGCUUGUAGGCGGCUUGUUAAGUCGCGUGUGAAAUCCCUUGGCUCAACCAAGGAAGUGCGCGCGAAACUGGCGAGCUGGAGUGCCGGAGAGGGUCGCGGAAUUCCCGGUGUAGAGGUGAAAUUCGUAGAUAUCGGGAGGAACACCAGUGGCGAAGGCGGCGACCUGGACGGACACUGACGCUGAGACGCGAAAGCGUGGGGAG